CCUACGGGAGACAGCAGUAGGGAAUAUUGCUCAAUGGGGGACACCCUGAAGCAGCAACGCCGCGUGGAGGAUGAAGGUUUUCGGAUUGUAACCUCCUUUUGUUAGAGAAGAUAAUGACGGUAUCUAACGAAUAAGCACCUGCUAACUCCGUGUCAGCAGCCGCGGUAAUACGGAGGGUGCAAGCGUUACUCGGAAUCACUGGGCGUAAAGAGCGCGUAGGCGGGAUAGUAAGUCAGACGUGAAAUCCUAUGGCUUAACCAUAGAACUGCAUUUGAAACUGUUAUUCUAGAGUAUGGGAGAGGUAGGCGGAAUUCGUGGUGUAGGGGUAAAAUGCGUAGAGAUCAAGAGGAACACUCAUUGCGAAGGCGACCUGCUAGAACAUAACUGACGCUGAUGCGCGAAAGCGUGGGGAGCAAACAGGAUUAGAUACCCUUGUAGUC
This 440-nucleotide ribosomal RNA is filed under the name uncultured bacterium. RNAcentral's name for it is "partial 16S ribosomal RNA". It matches the Rfam family "Bacterial small subunit ribosomal RNA", at positions 338 to 795 of the family's 1533-position model. The record is from RNAcentral.